GGCACCGCCCUCCUCUCUGCCCACUUCCUGCUUUGGCAGACCCUAGUGUUGUGGGCGGACUGGGCCCUCAGUGCCACGCUCCUGGCCCUUCACAGCCUGGAGGCCAUCCUGCAGGUGGUUGCCAUCGCGGCCUUCACCAGGGGCUUCGGAGGAGAGGUCAGGGCUGAGGCCGGGGCUGGGACUGCAGGAGAGAGAGCAGCUGAGGGGCCCACAUUCUGAGCCUCCGUCCACUCCAGUUUUAUCAGCUUUUGCCUUUUGCACUGAGUGCUGAACAAAUUCUAGCUCUGUGUUUUUUUUUCCCAUUCCCAGAUUUACUAUAAGUUCUCCUUAAAAAGUAUCUAAGCUGUUAUAGUAGCUUUCCCUUCACUUGAUUCUAUUGUGUGUUUUCUAUGUUUGGAAUAAUUACACCCAAAUAUCUAGAUAUUUUCUCUUCACCGCAUUUUGUAAAUAAAGAGAUGUGUAUGCCUCCCUGAA
Molecule: small RNA, 474 nt
Filed under: Pan troglodytes (chimpanzee)
Lineage: Eukaryota; Metazoa; Chordata; Mammalia; Primates; Hominidae
Description: processed transcript
Source: RNAcentral